RNAcentral lists this ribosomal RNA (600 nucleotides) under Salmonella enterica. RNAcentral's name for it is "partial 23S ribosomal RNA". It matches the Rfam family "Bacterial large subunit ribosomal RNA", at positions 893 to 1495 of the family's 2925-position model. RNAcentral also lists the same sequence under 1 other name. The record is from RNAcentral. Lineage: Bacteria; Pseudomonadati; Pseudomonadota; Gammaproteobacteria; Enterobacterales; Enterobacteriaceae.
UCUCCGGGGGUAGAGCACUGUUUCGGCUAGGGGGCCAUCCCGGCUUACCAACCCGAUGCAAACUGCGAAUACCGGAGAAUGUUAUCACGGGAGACACACGGCGGGUGCUAACGUCCGUCGUGAAGAGGGAAACAACCCAGACCGCCAGCUAAGGUCCCAAAGUCAUGGUUAAGUGGGAAACGAUGUGGGAAGGCCCAGACAGCCAGGAUGUUGGCUUAGAAGCAGCCAUCAUUUAAAGAAAGCGUAAUAGCUCACUGGUCGAGUCGGCCUGCGCGGAAGAUGUAACGGGGCUAAACCAUGCACCGAAGCUGCGGCAGCGACACUGUGUGUUGUUGGGUAGGGGAGCGUUCUGUAAGCCUGUGAAGGUGUGUCGUGAGGCAUGCUGGAGGUAUCAGAAGUGCGAAUGCUGACAUAAGUAACGAUAAAGCGGGUGAAAAGCCCGCUCGCCGGAAGACCAAGGGUUCCUGUCCAACGUUAAUCGGGGCAGGGUGAGUCGACCCCUAAGGCGAGGCCGAAAGGCGUAGUCGAUGGGAAACGGGUUAAUAUUCCCGUACUUGGUGUUACUGCGAAGGGGGGACGGAGAAGGCUAUGUUGGCCGGG